UUACGAAUGCUCGCAUUACGUUUCGUGCUUAGUGGACCUGGCAACCCUGAAACUAAAGUAUCGAGGAUUCGAUCGGAGCUGCCUAUUGCAGUGAGAUGCGGUGAUUCGGCAGUGUAAUUUUGUCCGUGAGUCCGAUAGGAACUACGAGGAGAGUGCACUGUGUUAGGAGAGUUGUUUGUCCCGCGAACCGAUACUAUUUUUAUCGAAGCUGCUCGAAAUAGAAGCUGCUGUUGAUAAGGUGUCAAUGUUCCGAACGCGACAUGCCUCCUAACAAACUUCGAUAAAAAUAUUUUAUCCACCACAAGCCUUCCGCCAUGGACUGUACGUUGCGAGAACUUUCCCUUCUUGAAGAGAAGAAUAAGUUAUGGCGGAAGGAACACGCAGAAAGAGUGAAGCGUAUGGAACAGUAUUAUGAUCAAGAGAUUGCGAAUAUUGAAGAGGAAUUCAAAAGAGCCGUGCAGAAACUUAAUUCGGAUUUCAGCGCUCAGCGGAAAGCAAUACUACGGCAAAAUAGUAGGUGUGAAGUCAGCAAUGGAGCGAUGGUGGAAUCGAUUCCUUCAAGUGAUAAAACCCAGCCGAAAAAGUACUGCACGAGAGCAGUGGAUCCGAAAAAUGCAGACUCUCCCGAAACAUCUUCACAAACAAAACUCUUGUCGAAGCCAUUUACUGUUUCACAAAGCGCUAUCAACGGCGAUCUAGAGUCUAUAUCUCAUCAAGAGCGCAGAGAGAAAACCGAAAUGCUAUCAGCUGGUUCUCCAACAGCUGUUUCGUUUGUGAGCAUACAAUCUAUGACGUCAGUUGUACACAAGCUGGGGAAGAAGCAGACACGUCAUUCAAUUCCAAAGAAUGAAAUAAUCUACGACCGAGUCUACGACAUCAAUCCCAGAAAAACAACUAUCAACUUGCUCAGGGCUGAAAGUCUCAAAAAUAAAGGAAAAAAAAAAAAAAAAAAACUAUCAACUUUGUGCAGUGCUUCGCUUACGGGGUCUGUGUAAACUACGACGACGCAGAUCAGGUAGCUGACCGAGUGCCGUAUCCUAUGGGGAACGAAAAACAAUGCAUGCGCGGUAGUAAGCAAAGCAAACAUCAUCGUUUGAAACCGUUGUUGUUCGAUCCCGGUGGUUAUCGUUUGAAUGAUUUGAAUGGAGCUCAUCAUUGCAUACAAUCACCAGCACGGAAGAGGAGAAUGAUGAUCCGACUAAUAUGGGACAGGCUUUGCAGCAGAAAUUAUAAUUCCGGAGCAGUGGAUGGAGCCACUUUGUUUCACCCGUGCCUACUACAAUUGCAUACACGGAGGUAUGGUGCUGCCAUCUGGAUGAAGUUUACUGUUUCGCAAACCAUAAUGAGUACUCACAUGGAACAUCGUAUUAACACUAUUUCACAUUCGAGGUUUGGAAGAUCAGUUUGUUACCAGUUCCACGGGGGGGAAUGUUACGAAUGCUCGCAUUACGUUUCGUGCUUAGUGGACCUGGCAACCCUGAAACUAAAGUAUCGAGGAUUCGAUCGGAGCUGCCUAUUGCAGUGAGAUGCGGUGAUUCGGCAGUGUAAUUUUGUCCGUGAGUCCGAUAGGAACUACGAGGAGAGUGCACUGUGUUAGGAGAGUUGUUUGUCCCGCGAACCGAUACUAUUUUGUAAGUUUAAUAUGUAAUGAAAUUGUAAUGAAAACUUUAGCUAAUAAUGAUAAUAAAUUGCAGUAUCGAAGCUGCUCGAAAUAGAA
Molecule: long non-coding RNA, 1717 nt
Organism: Aedes albopictus (Asian tiger mosquito)
Lineage: Eukaryota; Metazoa; Arthropoda; Insecta; Diptera; Culicidae
Exons: 2
Source: RefSeq, a predicted model, not a curated record